RNAcentral lists this ribosomal RNA (375 nucleotides) under uncultured bacterium. RNAcentral describes it as "bacterial SSU rRNA". It matches the Rfam family "Bacterial small subunit ribosomal RNA", at positions 524 to 898 of the family's 1533-position model. The record is from RNAcentral.
UACGGAGGGUGCAAGCGUUAAUCGGAAUUACUGGGCGUAAAGCGUGCGUAGGCGGUUAUUUAAGUCAGAUGUGAAAGCCCCGGGCUUAACCUGGGAACUGCAUUUGAUACUGGAUGACUAGAGUUGAGUAGAGGAGAGUGGAAUUUCAGGUGUAGCGGUGAAAUGCGUAGAGAUCUGAAGGAACACCAGUGGCGAAGGCGGCUCUCUGGACUCAAACUGACGCUGAGGUACGAAAGCGUGGGUAGCAAACAGGAUUAGAUACCCUGGUAGUCCACGCCGUAAACGAUGUCAACUAACCGUUGGGUUCUUAAAGAACUUAGUGGUGGAGCUAACGUAUUAAGUUGACCGCCUGGGGAGUACGGCCGCAAGGCUAAA